CCAGCAGCCGCGGUAAUUCCAGCUCCAAUAGCGUAUAUUAAAGUUGUUGCGGUUAAAAAGCUCGUAGUUGGAUUUCUGCCGAGGACAACCGGUCCGCCCUCUGGGUGAGCAUCUGGUUUGGCUUUGGCAUCUUUCUGGACAACGCAGCUGCACUUGACUGUGUGGUGCGGGGCCCAGGACUUUUACUUUGAGGAAAUUAGAGUGUUUCAAGCAGGCAUGCGCCUUGAAUACAUUAGCAUGGAAUAAUAAGACAGGACUUCGGUUCUAUUUUGUUGGUUUCUAGAGCUGAAGUAAUGAUUAAUAGGGAUAGUUGGGGGCAUUCGUAUUUAACUGUCAGAGGUGAAAUUCUUGGAUUUGUUAAAGACGGACGACUGCGAAAGCAUUUGCCAAGGAUGUUUUCAUUGAUCAAGAACGAAAGU
This 419-nucleotide ribosomal RNA is filed under the name Margalefidinium polykrikoides. Its description in RNAcentral is "SSU rRNA". It matches the Rfam family "Eukaryotic small subunit ribosomal RNA", at positions 567 to 990 of the family's 1831-position model. The record is from RNAcentral. Lineage: Eukaryota; Dinophyceae; Gymnodiniales; Gymnodiniaceae.